GACGAACGCUGGCGGCAUGCUUAACACAUGCAAGUCGAACGGAAAGGCCUGCUUUCCCUUGUGGAUUGCGGGUGCUCGAGUGGCGAACGGGUGAGUAACACGUGAGUGAUCUGCCCCCAACUUGGGUAUAAGCCUGGGAAACUGGGUCUAAUUCCCGAUAGGACUGCAGGGUGGUGCCUGUGGUGGAAAACGAUUUUCUAGUGGUUGGGGAUGAGCUCGCGGCCUAUCAGCUUGUUGGUGGGGUAAUGGCCUACCAAGGCGGCGACGGGUAGCCGGCCUGAGAGGGUGGACGGCCACAUUGGGACUGAGAUACGGCCCAGACUCCUACGGGAGGCAGCAGUGGGGAAUAUUGCACAAUGGGCGGAAGCCUGAUGCAGCGACGCCGCGUGGGGGAUGACGGCCUUCGGGUUGUAAACUCCUUUCGACCGCGAGGAAGCCACCUGGUUGGAAGGGUGGUGACGGUAGUGGUAGAAGAAGCACCGGCUAACUACGUG
RNAcentral lists this ribosomal RNA (494 nucleotides) under uncultured bacterium. RNAcentral's name for it is "partial 16S ribosomal RNA". It matches the Rfam family "Bacterial small subunit ribosomal RNA", at positions 28 to 507 of the family's 1533-position model. The record is from RNAcentral.